Molecule: long non-coding RNA, 497 nt
Filed under: Homo sapiens (human)
Lineage: Eukaryota; Metazoa; Chordata; Mammalia; Primates; Hominidae
Description: non-protein coding lnc-ADTRP-7:5
Source: RNAcentral
ACAAGGAAACUAACCUGAGGCAGGACCGUGGCACUGAAGGAGUCUCCCUGGAUGCAGCAAAGGUGGAGACCUUGUCCAAGAAAAAUGCUGGACGGGCCUUUACCCCAAAGAGGAAAGCUGGGUCAUGGAACAAGGAAAUGAAUUACAUCAAGUGAAAAUGCACAUCUGAUGCCCAGUCCAGACCAAGGCAUGUACGCUUCCAGAGGCACGCUAGCAUGCUGGCACCCCUUCAAACUAUUAUUCUUUGCAUAUUUUGUUUGUUCAGCGUGUAUCUAGUUAAAAAAAAAGAGAGAGAGAGAAGAAGAAGAAGAAAUAAAAAAAUGAAAGGGAAAAAAUGCUUUUUGAGAGGAGGAAGGGGUAAGCUUUUUUGAAACAUAACACAUACGGGAAAGAGCAUAUAUCUUGAUGUGCAGCUUGGAGCAUUCCUCCAAAGUGAACACGCCUAUGUUCUCAGCACCCAGACCAAGAAACAGAAGACAGAAGUCCCCCAGGCUCUC